This is a long non-coding RNA of Penaeus monodon (black tiger shrimp), 655 nucleotides long. RefSeq lists it as uncharacterized. The record is from RefSeq and is a predicted model, not a curated record. The transcript is spliced from 11 exons. Lineage: Eukaryota; Metazoa; Arthropoda; Malacostraca; Decapoda; Penaeidae.
AAGAGAAACUCGAACGCGUCUCUCGGUCACUCCCUCGCCGCUGCUUAGAGAGGAUGGUCGGCUCCGUCAGUCUCUCCCCAAAUUUCGCGUUUUCAUGGGUAUAUCGAUUGAUGCCAACGUAGCCCGCACCUAAAUUCCAGUAAAAUGGAGCUGGUGUGGCUUCCUUGUCAACAUGACACGUGUAGGUGUGAGGAGUUGUGCUUCUAUAGGAAAAUGUCCUGAUCUUGCUAUCAAGUUUUGAAGGAUAUUUAUUUUGUUAAUCGGUUUCCAGGCCGACAUUGGUCAGUGAAUAUGAAUAUGGCUUUGAAGAUGGGAUGAAAGGGAAAUGUGCAAGCAGGAUUGGCUUGUCUGUAAAAUGAUAAAAGGAAGCUGGUGAUGUUUCAAGGCUACCAACAUGACCUGCUUGAAAGAUGUCCAGGGCUUGUAAGGUCAUAUUGAAGCACAUGGCUUAUCAGGAUGUGAAAGUUUAAAUUUGGUAUUUGGAGGUAACUGGCUGAUGGUAUUGACCAGUGCCUGUGAACAUGGUUAAAGAUGGAUUGACAGAAAUUAACGGGCAGAUUUGGCAUUAGCACUCUACCUUCAAAACGUGCUACAAGGAUGGCCCAGGAGUAGCCGUUAAGUUACCACCAGAGAUUGCAAAUAAACAUUAAUGUGA